AAAAAAUCAAUUCCUAAGUUUAUGUAUCCAACGUUUGACUGUCUGUCUGUCUUAUAUGAAUUUCUUUUAUGAUUAGUAUUUUCAUUGUUAUUAGAUGAUAAAACAUAAAUAAUAUUUUAUGCAUGACUUAUCAUUUUAAUUUUUUUAAUAAUUUUUUUAAAUAAGACGGACGGUCAAACGUUGGAGACGGAAACCCAGGAAUUGAGUUAUU
Molecule: microRNA precursor, 211 nt
Organism: Oryza rufipogon (brownbeard rice)
Lineage: Eukaryota; Viridiplantae; Streptophyta; Magnoliopsida; Poales; Poaceae
Rfam family: MIR812 microRNA precursor family
Source: Rfam